GGAAUUAAUUUAAUCGCAGUGGCUUGAACCGGGCAAAAGUCGUAACAAGGUAGCUGUAGGUGAACCUGCUGCUGGAUCAUUACUCACCGUGA
This 92-nucleotide ribosomal RNA is filed under the name Tylenchorhynchus mediterraneus. Its description in RNAcentral is "partial 18S ribosomal RNA". The stretch from base 1 to 82 matches the Rfam family "Eukaryotic small subunit ribosomal RNA", at positions 1750 to 1831 of the family's 1831-position model. Lineage: Eukaryota; Metazoa; Nematoda; Chromadorea; Rhabditida; Telotylenchidae. The record is from RNAcentral.